RNAcentral lists this ribosomal RNA (477 nucleotides) under uncultured bacterium. RNAcentral describes it as "partial 16S ribosomal RNA". It matches the Rfam family "Bacterial small subunit ribosomal RNA", at positions 30 to 507 of the family's 1533-position model. The record is from RNAcentral.
AUGAACGCUGGCGGCGUGCCUAACACAUGCAAGUCGAACGGAGUCCAGCCUUUAAGACCUUCGGGCCAAAGAGGGGAAGACUGAGUGGCGGACGGGUGAGUAACACGUGGGCAACCUGGCUCAUAGAGGGGGAUAACAGAGAGAAAUUUCUGCUAAUACCGCAUAAGCACACACUGCCGCAUGGCAGAGGGUGAAAAGAGAAUCGCUAUGAGAUGGACCCGCGUCUGAUUAGCCAGUUGGCAGGGUAAGAGCCUACCAAAGCGACGAUCAGUAGCCGAUCUGAGAGGAUGAACGGCCACAUUGGGACUGAGACACGGCCCAAACUCCUACGGGAGGCAGCAGUGGGGGAUAUUGCACAAUGGGGGGAACCCUGAUGCAGCGACGCCGCGUGAGUGAAGAAGUAUUUCGGUAUGUAAAGCUCUAUCAGCAGGGAAGAUAAUGACAGUACCUGAAUAAGAAGCCCCGGCUAACUACGUG